UGACCGCUGGCCGCGUGCCUACUACAUGCAAGUCGAGCGAACAGACGCGGAGCUUGCUCCUCUGACGUUAGCGGCGGACGGGUGAGUAACACGUGGAUAACCUACCUAUAAGACUGGGAUAACUUCGGGAAACCGGAGCUAAUACCGGAUAAUAUAUUGAACCGCAUGGUUCAAUAGUGAAAGACGGUUUUGCUGUCACUUAUAGAUGGAUCCGCGCCGCAUUAGCUAGUUGGUAAGGUAACGGCUUACCAAGGCAACGAUGCGUAGCCGACCUGAGAGGGUGAUCGGCCACACUGGAACUGAGACACGGUCCAGACUCCUACGGGAGGCAGCAGUAGGGAAUCUUCCGCAAUGGGCGAAAGCCUGACGGAGCAACGCCGCGUGAGUGAUGAAGGUCUUCGGAUCGUAAAACUCUGUUAUUAGGGAAGAACAAAUGUGUAAGUAACUAUGCACGUCUUGACGGUACCUAAUCAGAAAGCCACGGCUAACUACGUG
Molecule: ribosomal RNA, 495 nt
Filed under: uncultured bacterium
Lineage: Bacteria
Description: partial 16S ribosomal RNA
Rfam family: Bacterial small subunit ribosomal RNA
Source: RNAcentral